AGGGUUUGAUCAUGGCUCAGAACGUACGCUGGCGGCACGCCUAAUACAUGCAAGUCGAACGAAGUAGCAAUACUUAGUGGCGAACGGGUGAGUAUAAUGUGGGUAUCUGCCUUUUGGUUUGGAAUAACACGGGGAAACUUGUGCUAAUACCGAAUAAGCCUUUACAGGGAAAGUUUUAACGCCGAAAGAUGAGCCCAUACUUGAUUAGCUAGUUGGUAAGGUAAUGGCUUACCAAGGCUACGAUCAAUAGCUGAUCUGAGAGGAUGAUCAGCCACAUUGGGACUGAGACACGGCCCAAACUCCUACGGGAGGCAGCAGUAGGGAAUCUUGCACAAUGGGGGAAACCCUGAUGCAGCGAUGCCGCGUGAGUGAAGAAGGCCUUUGGGUUGUAAAGCUCUUUCGUCGGGGAAGAAAAUGACUGUACCCGAAUAAGAAGGUCCGGCUAACUUCGUGCCAGCAGCCGCGGUAAUUC
RNAcentral lists this ribosomal RNA (472 nucleotides) under uncultured bacterium. RNAcentral's name for it is "bacterial SSU rRNA". It matches the Rfam family "Bacterial small subunit ribosomal RNA", at positions 8 to 526 of the family's 1533-position model. The record is from RNAcentral.